Molecule: non-coding RNA, 325 nt
Organism: Pelobates cultripes (western spadefoot toad)
Lineage: Eukaryota; Metazoa; Chordata; Amphibia; Anura; Pelobatidae
Source: the annotation of a GenBank genome assembly
CUUUAUUAAAACUAGAAAAUUAAUACAAUUUAACAAAUGGUGAUGUUCAGCACAGGUCAGAGUGCUGAACAUCACCAUAUAUGGUCAUGGGGCCAUCAAAGAAAACGACCACAUGACCUGUCAAUUCAGUUAGAGACGCCCAUUCAUUCGGUUCGCGCGGAGGCUGGAGGAAGGUCAGGAGGAGGACAGCAUAGCGUCGAGGGGCAUGCGCGGGAAUUUACCGCGCGGGUGAGUAUGGGAAGAUGAAGGAGCCGCGGUCACAUGAUAUCCGGCGAGAGGAAGAUGGCGACCUACUGGAAAUAGAUCCGGAUCACCAGCAAACCUA